GCAGCAGCGGGGAAUUUUGGACAAUGGGCGCAAGCCUGAUCCAGCAAUGCCGCGUGCAGGAUGAAGGCCUUCGGGUUGUAAACUGCUUUUGUACGGAACGAAAAGCCCUGGGUUAAUACCCUGGGGUCAUGACGGUACCGUAAGAAUAAGCACCGGCUAACUACGUG
RNAcentral lists this ribosomal RNA (167 nucleotides) under uncultured bacterium. RNAcentral describes it as "partial 16S ribosomal RNA". It matches the Rfam family "Bacterial small subunit ribosomal RNA", at positions 348 to 507 of the family's 1533-position model. The record is from RNAcentral.